UACUUGUCAAAGAAUUUGUUGACUUGGUCCA
Molecule: non-coding RNA, 31 nt
Filed under: Mus musculus (house mouse)
Lineage: Eukaryota; Metazoa; Chordata; Mammalia; Rodentia; Muridae
Also listed under: 1 other name
Source: RNAcentral